AAAGCAAGUGGGUGGUCUCUAUCAGGAAGACUCUAUUCAGGAAAAAACUUGAAAGACCAGAAGGAGAGGAGUGGCGUGUGUUCUGCAAACACAAACUGUGGUCAACCAGCCAGCAGCAAAAUCAGACAUCCAUCAGUGUUACACACCGAGACAUCUUCAGACAGACGAGCAUGGACACAGAGAGAAAGAUGCUAAUAUUCACUCUGCUUUUGACAGCUGUUUGCAGUCCUGUGUUUAGUGGAGAAUGGAAGGCUACUGUUGUUAAAGACCUUGAUGCUCUCGUUACCUCCUGUGUGGUGGUGCCCUGUUCGUUCACCCAUGGUGGAGGACUGCUUCCGAACUCCAGACUCAGAGGACUCUGGCAUCGUCAAGACAAGUUUGAUCAAUUUAUCUAUCACGAGGAUCAGACAAGGGUCUUGGACAACUUUAAAGAGCGAACACAACUGUUGGGACGUCUGGGUGAAAACAACUGCACCUUGGAAAUAACUGAUAUGAAAGAUCAUGACAACGGUCCUUUCUGUUUCCGAGUCGAAGUAGUGCGUAAAGAGACCAAUGAACCCACCAAAGACAAGUUCUCCUUUGUUGAGGACUGUGUCCAGUUCAAAAUGCUCCAUGAUGCUCCAAAACCUGUCCUGACACCACCAAAGACAGCCAUUGAAGGAAAACCCUACACUAUCAUUUGCUCAGUCACACAUACCUGUCCCUCCCAUCUGCCUAAACUCACAUGGAACCGGGGCACUGAAGAAGACAUCACUGAGAUUCAUAAACAACACCAUGGUGGAAACUGGGAGGCAACGUCCACCUUAACAUUUGUAGCAGAAGCCAAGGACGACUACACUGAGCUCACCUGCACAGCUGAAUUUUAUGGAGGAAGGAAGGAAUCCUCCACAACUGUGACGCUCUAUGUAAAACGUUCUGAAAACUACAACCACAUCAUCAUCCCUGCUGCAGUGGGGAUUGGCACUGCUGUGAUCUUUGGACUCCUCUGUGUUUUCAUGGUGAAGAAAUACAAGAAACGUAUUGCAGAGCUCCAAAGUCAAGUAAGGGCAGGGCCAGAUUCUGAAGAUGAGAAGCGAAGAAACAGGUUUCUCUAAAAUACGUGAGACCACACAUUUUUUUUCCAUUCUUUAUUUUUCUGGACUUUAACAGUUUAAUUAUUGUAACUGUACAUUUACGCACAGAGGGGAAUGGACUCGAAGUCCUUGAGGCAGUCCAACAACACCAAGAAGAAGGAGCUCAAAGUCACCAGUAUCUGAGUCCUAUAUGUGGCUUUUAAAGUAGGAAUCAAAUUAAAGGAAGGACAAAAGACACAUGAAGGAGGAUGGGGGAUUGUUUUGAGCAAUUUUGUGAGAUCUCUGCCCAUAAUGUUUCUUUGUUAAUACGCCUUUACUACAGAAGAAACUCAUUUACAUUUACUAACUCAUAUGUUUUCCUGUUUCCUGAACUGAUAUAUAAGUAGUGUUAUGUAACAAAUGUUCAUUGUAAAAGUCACCCUUUUCAUAUACACAAGUAGACGUUAUUGGUAUCGGGAUAUUGGCCUUGGUAUUUCUUGAUGUCGGAUUGUGGGCUAAAAUAGUGGUAUCGCACAUGCAUAAUUAAAAGCAAGUGGGUGGUCUCUAUCAGGAAGAUUUUAUUCGGGAAAAAACUUGAAAGACCAGAAGGAGAGGAGUGGCGUGUGUUCUGCAAACACAAACUGUGGUCAACCAGCCAGCAGCAAAAUCAGGUAGGAUUUUAACAACACAAAAUUAUAAUUGAACUAAAUAAACUACAAGUCUCUUGAGUUGUGUAGCGGACUUCAUGGACUUUUAUGGAAACAAUUCCCCUUAUAACGGUGUUGCCUGGAGUUUCGGUUUCUGUUUGCAUGGUGUUGUUAAAGACAGGAAAUAAAGGCCACACAGAUGCGUUGUGAACGUGAGAAAUUUUCUUUACUUUUUUUUUCAAACACAAUGGAACUGUCGUGUUCCAUUGUGUUUGGAUUUCCUGUUUUAUUUUGUUAAGUCCCUUCGUUUCCAGUUUUGUGUUACUCUGUGUAUUCCCCAUGUGAUUCCCCUGAUUUGUUUCACCUGUCGUCAUCCCUUGGCCUUCUUGUAUAUAUAUAGCCCUGCCUUUCCCUUUGUUGGCUGUCGUGUUGUUAGUCUAGUUGAGUCAUAUCCCUAGAUUCAAUCUUAUUUCCCUGUCUUUUAGUUUCAGUUUUUGUGGUUUUUUUCCUGCAUUUGUGGAGGAUGGGGGAUACUUGUUUUUUUUGGCAAGUUUGCUUUUUAAAUCAGUUUGCUUUGAUUCACUUAUCAGCUUCAGUGAAGAAAAAAACAAGAUACAAUUCUUAAAGUUAAUAAGCAUGUCAGUAGUGCAUAAUCUUUCUGCUUUGUUUUCUUUGUUGACAAUUAUAGACAGUGAUAGCAGGGUGUGGUAUCUUCCAUAAAUGUGUGCUGAUAAUGUUUCUUUGUUAAUAUGCCUAUGCUACAUAUUAAACUCAUUUACUUACUUCUUUUCCUGAACUGAUAUAUAAGCAAUAUUAUGUAAGUUCUUCUCUUUGUUCAUUAAAUUUGACUUUGUUCUCA
Mugil cephalus (flathead mullet) is the source of this 2558-nucleotide RNA transcript. It is a transcript of the gene named myeloid cell surface antigen CD33-like, with no coding region annotated. Lineage: Eukaryota; Metazoa; Chordata; Actinopteri; Mugiliformes; Mugilidae. The record is from RefSeq and is a predicted model, not a curated record. The transcript has 8 exons.